Long non-coding RNA from Paramisgurnus dabryanus, 419 nucleotides. RefSeq lists it as uncharacterized. Lineage: Eukaryota; Metazoa; Chordata; Actinopteri; Cypriniformes; Cobitidae. The record is from RefSeq and is a predicted model, not a curated record.
AGCACAGCGACAUAAAUAUGACCAACCAGAUCCCAAGUAGACAGGAACAAAUGAAGAUAUAGCACAUAGAAAGACUUAUUCUUGGUGAUCAACUGCUAUUGACAUUUUUGAAUCGGGACAAUUGUGGAGUGAUUCGGAAGAAAAACGUUUGCAACACAUCCAUUCCAGGAGCACAGUGGCCCCCAACUGAAAAUUUUAGGGGCGCAACCAGAAAAUUAAGGGGCACACACGAGUGCUCUGACAGAUAAAACUGACACACUUGAUGAGGACACAGUCAAAGCUUCAAAAGACCGUGUGAUAAAGCAGUCUUCAAUUACUACGGUGUCUGAAUUGCAAGAAGUGACCCUCCACUUAAACAUGUGAUAUCUAAACUGUUUUGUGUUUUAGUUCAGCUAUUUAUAGGUUUAUCUUAAGUUGGU